AAGGGAGAUCAUGACUGGACCAAGGAGACUUUGGAAAUAAGUGAAGAAUGGGAGUCUGAUUCUUCUUCCAAGCUGCGUGUUCCAAUGGUUUUCAUCUCUGGUAAGUAGACUGCUUGAUUUCUCGGCUGCUUUGUAUUUGUGCUAAGCUGCUCUCUAAUUUUUUUAUUUUUUCCCUUUUUUCUGGUAGAUUUGGAAUUCAGCUCGACUCCUAAGACUUCUCCAGAUAUGAAGAAGGUGCAUAUUACCCUAGGUAUCCCUCUUAAGUACUGUGAGUGGUGUUGGCUGCUUAGUCCUCUUCGUCGAGAGAAAGGUGAGCUACCCCCGAGAUAUGAGUGUUGGAAGUAUGCCCACAAGGCCACUCAUUUGAUGUAAUAGCUUUUGGAAUACUUAUUGUGUUAAACUAUUAUAUGUUUAAUGAAGGGUAAAUCUUAUUGUUAAUCACUAUUUAUUGUAUUAUGUGUUUAAGCAAUAAAGGAAUCCAAUGAAUGUAUUUAAUCAGAGAGAGAAGUGAUCUAAGUAAGUUAGAUUAACAAGACCUUUCUCUUAUGUUCAUUCCUAAAAUGUUCCUAGCCAUAAGAUUGCCAAUUGGACAUUGACAAUCUACUAAGGUUAGUAUGUGUUAUGUUAACUCAAGCGUGAGUAUGACUAGUCUCAAGUCAUUUAGUGUUAGAUACCGAGACAAACACAUAGGUGCUCAAAAGGUAAUUGAGUACACUGAACAACGAUAAAAAAUGAGUUCGAACGUACAUGUCAUGUAAGAACUCGUAACUUGCAAUAUGCAAAGUAGUCCUUUAACCUGAGGCAUCAUAGAUGUCUAAUGGUUGGGUCCUUGAUCUUUGAUCAUGUUAAAGGUAUUCCAUUGAGACUCUCCACGGCAUUGUUGGGGUCAAGUUAUCUAGUCAUGUAGGCAUAUGAAUGCACAACAAGGGAUCUCUAAACUUCCAUGGUGGAAGGAGAAUACUCUGAAAUAUGAUUUAGGAGUCUUUGGCCAAAGCAUACAAAUAUGACUUAGGAAGUUUGUUCCAAAUCAUAUUCAAUUGAAUCAUAUAGAGAAGUAUCACAUUGGAUAGUAGACAUGAAACAAACUAUCACUCAAACAAUGUGAUUAAGAGUAUUGUAUUAGAGAAAGACCGUAUUGCAUUAUAAAUGUAACUGGAUAGGUUCUCCAACCACUUCUACUUAGCUUGGGUAGCCAUGACAUACUGCUAGGUGUCACUCAUGGUUUGUGGAAGCCCUGAGGAUUAGCAAACACUAAUCUUCAUCAAAGGGAGAAUUGAAAUGUAGUUUCAAUUCACAAUCGAUCGUUAAGAGUAACAAUCACCCAUUAAUUGGAACCUAAUGGAUCUUACACCGAGUAAGGAUGAAAGUGAAGAAAUAUAUAUGAGAUGGAUAAGCAAUUAAAUAGUUUAAUUGAGAAUGGUCAAGAUUAAUUAAUUAGUUAAUUGGGCUUUUAAGUUGGUUUGGGGUUUUGGGGCCCAAAAGGGUGUUUGGUCCACAAGGCCCAUUGAGUUUAGGUUAUGUGAAAACUAAAACUAAAUGGAAAUUAACCCAAAAACAAACUCAAAACCGGCCAAGGGUGAGUGGUAGCAAACUUGGGUUAAUUGCAAGUUUGCCACUCACAUAUAAGGUGGUAUAAAUGCAACUUUAUAGCCAUUCUCUCACUAUGGUUUUCUUGAAGAAAAGAGGAGAAACUUUUUCUCUCUUUUUCUCCAUAGAGGCUGGCCACUUAGAGGAAGGAUAGCUAGCAAUCUUUCUUCCUUUAAGUCAUCCAUUUCAUCUUCACACCUCAUCCUUGGUAUGGAGACUUAGAGACACUAAAUCUUUGGUGUUUUUGGAGAUCCUUUCCUCACAUCCUCAAGGAGUAAAGGAGUAUCAAAAGGAAGAAAAACACAAGGAAGAUCUAAGGAGCUAGGAGGUGACUUGAAGGCCCUCCACUUGGGUGAAUCCCUUGUGUAAACAAGGAUGAGCUUCAAGGGUAAUGAAUCUCAAAAUCCUUUCUUCUCUUUAAUGUUGUUAAAGAGUUGGUUCACCAUUCACUAGGCUUUGAAAGUCAUGGGUUUUAGAAUUGUUUUUUAAUGCAUGCCUACUUUAAAGUGUUAUUAGUUUGCUUAUGUGUUCAAAUUUUCUCACAUGUUCUUAGCUAGGUCAAAAUUUAUCCUUCAAGGAGAUAAAGCGAAUCAAAGCUGAGGUGUUGGCUCAUCCAAUCACUAUAGUUAAGCCUACCGCGCAUGAAGGUGGAAAGAAGAGAUCUUCCCCCAAGCUCGUGAUUAACUUGACUUCCUCCAAGCUCGUGAUUAACUUGACUUCCUUCAAGCUCAUGAUUAACUUGACUUCCUCCAAGGGUGAGAAAGAGAGGGCUGCUAGAUCUAUGCCAGUGAUGCCUG
This 2384-nucleotide long non-coding RNA is filed under the name Malus domestica (apple). RNAcentral describes it as "long non-coding RNA (MDOM_LNC000074)". The record is from RNAcentral. Lineage: Eukaryota; Viridiplantae; Streptophyta; Magnoliopsida; Rosales; Rosaceae.